UCUGCAGUAAGGAAGGUUGCAUAUUUAAUAUAUGAAACAAAAAUGGAUUUAAGUGGCAUUUAGGGGGUUAUUUAUCAAAAUCCGAAAAGUUCUCACAAUUUUAGGAAAACAACUCUGACCAAAUCUGCACAGAUUUUUCCCCUUAUUUAUCAAUACAAUUUCCCGAAAAUUUCUUGUGCUGGAAAAAAUCAGAAUACCGUAAAUUUUUAGGAUUUGACGCCCAAGUACUGCGGUUUUUUUCGGAGACCUGCCACAAAUCAGGAUAUUUUUGAGACAUCUGCCAUUGACUUCUACAUGAACUCAGCUGGUCUGAGUUGGGGUACUUUUUUAUUCAGACUUUUAACACCAGGAAACCUCUGACUUUAAUAAAUAACCCCCUAAAUGUCACUGACCUAAACAAUGUUGUCCACAAUGUGGAAGUGGAAAGACAUCAAGUUCACAAGAUUAUUAAAUGAACAAGGAAGAUCCCUAUGCCCCCAAAGGAACAGCGCUGUUUACAGAGGAGAUUCUGAAGAGGACUCUAGGGGUUAAUUCCCCUACUGGCUCAGGAAGUCCUGGUAGCUGUAACCUAUGACUUGGGGAGGGAUGUGUUCCCAUUGACCCAAGGUUUCCAUUCCCUCGGCUGAGGAUCUGGGGUUAAUGCACCUGGACCAUACUGUGUUUUGCUACCAAAACAUAACAAUUGGCUACAAGGAUGGCUCCUCUACCUCUGCAGCAGACUGCACCUUUUCUGCCAAACCCUGCAGAGAAGGUAAUCCAAAGGAGUUAAUAUCAGACAAUG
Molecule: long non-coding RNA, 781 nt
Organism: Xenopus laevis (African clawed frog)
Lineage: Eukaryota; Metazoa; Chordata; Amphibia; Anura; Pipidae
Exons: 5
Source: RefSeq, a predicted model, not a curated record